UGAAAGUGAUUGGACUUUAAGACCU
This 25-nucleotide non-coding RNA is filed under the name Rattus norvegicus (Norway rat). The record is from RNAcentral. Lineage: Eukaryota; Metazoa; Chordata; Mammalia; Rodentia; Muridae.